Molecule: ribosomal RNA, 801 nt
Filed under: uncultured bacterium
Lineage: Bacteria
Description: bacterial SSU rRNA
Rfam family: Bacterial small subunit ribosomal RNA
Source: RNAcentral
AUCGGGAAACAGCUUGCAUUGGGGGGACUUUUACAGGCGGGAGGCUGUUUAAAGCGGAUCCAACCUGACCACCAGUUGGGGAUUACCUUGCGAAAGUAAGACUAAUACCCAAUGACGUCUCUAGAGGACAUCUGAAAGAGAUUAAAGAUUUAUCGGUGAUGGAUGGGGAUGCGUCUGAUUAGCUUGUUGGCGGGGUAACGGCCCACCAAGGCUACGAUCAGUAGGGGUUCUGAGAGGAAGGUCCCCCACAUUGGAACUGAGACACGGUCCAAACUCCUACGGGAGGCAGCAGUGAGGAAUAUUGGUCAAUGGACGAGAGUCUGAACCAGCCAAGUAGCGUGCAGGAUGACGGCCCUAUGGGUUGUAAACUGCUUUUAUAAGGGAAUAAAGUGAGUCUCGUGAGACUUUUUGCAUGUACCUUAUGAAUAAGGACCGGCUAAUUCCGUGCCAGCAGCCGCGGUAAUACGGAAGGUCCGGGCGUUAUCCGGAUUUAUUGGGUUUAAAGGGAGCGUAGGCCGGAGAUUAAGCGUGUUGUGAAAUGUAGAUGCUCAACAUCUGCACUGCAGCGCGAACUGGUUUCCUUGAGUACGCACAAAGUGGGCGGAAUUCGUGGUGUAGCGGUGAAAUGCUUAGAUAUCACGAAGAACUCCGAUUGCGAAGGCAGCUCACUGGAGCGCAACUGACGCUGAAGCUCGAAAGUGCGGGUAUCGAACAGGAUUAGAUACCCUGGUAGUCCGCACGGUAAACGAUGGAUGCCCGCUGUUGGUCUGAAUAGGUCAGCGGCCAUUUACGAAGCGGGGU